UACGAAGGGGGGCUAGCGUUGUUCGGAUUUACUGGGCGUAAAGCGCACGUAGGCGGAUUGUUAAGUCGGGGGUGAAAUCCUGGAGCUCAACUCCAGAACUGCCUUCGAUACUGGCAAUCUCGAGUCCGGAAGAGGUAAGUGGAACUCCUAGUGUAGAGGUGGAAUUCGUAGAUAUUAGGAAGAACACCAGUGGCGAAGGCGGCUUACUGGUCCGGUACUGACGCUGAGGUGCGAAAGCGUGGGGAGCAACAGG
Molecule: ribosomal RNA, 253 nt
Filed under: uncultured bacterium
Lineage: Bacteria
Description: partial 16S ribosomal RNA
Rfam family: Bacterial small subunit ribosomal RNA
Source: RNAcentral